GAAAAAUGUUUGCUCAAUCUGAUACCAUUAGAUUUAUCCAAAGUAACAUUAUGACACCAUGAGGUAAGACCAUUGAGGUAUUCAAAUGUUAUAGGAAAUUAUCUGGGGGCCAUCAGUAAGACCUACAGCAUGGGUGUAGAUGAUCCCAUGGUGUUUGCAGCCCUGGGGACUCUACUGUGUUUGCUCUUCUGUUCUAUGGGUGGGCACAGACACAGCAAGGGGCCGCAUUGUGCAGCUACAUGGAGAAAGCAGGCGUGUGUGUGUGUGUGUGUGUGUACAUGCUUCUCUGACCUCUUCACCUGGCUGGGAAACCCUUUUGGUCAGGAUCCUGAAAAAGGCCCCAAAACAUGCUUCCCAAAAUAAGUAAAAAAGGGAAAUUCAUUAAGCAGGAAAAUAAUUCUGAGUUGGCCCUGAAACUAGAGCUUUCUGUUAAAAUUAUGCAGUUCAGCCAGGCAUAGUGGUAUACUCCUGUAAUCCCAGUGACUCAGGAGGAUGAGGCAGGAGAAUUGCAAGUUAGAGGCUAGCCUCAGCAACUUAGUGAGACCUUAAGUAACUUAGCAACACCCUGUCUUGAAAUAAAAAAAUAACAAUAAGGCUGAGGUUGAGGCUUAGUAUAGAGCGCUUGCCUUACACGUGUGAGGCAUUUGGUUUGAUCUUCAGCACCACAUAAAAAUAAAGUUUAAAUAAUAAUAAUAAAAGCUGGGGAUGUGAAUCAGUGGUAAAAUGUUUCAGAGGAAGAUGAAAGCUAAUCAUUUCUUUCAUUUCUAGAAGUUAUAAAAUUAAAAACACUUAAUUAAGGUCAUGUCGCAGAAAGGCUUUGCAAUUAUUAUUCACAGGAACUUUAUUGUAAUUGUCUGAUAAUUUUAGAGAUUCCUUUAUAACAAGCCCUUUCAUUAACUCCUCCUGGAACAGAUAAUUUUCUAUAUUACAUUUGAAUUUCAUUUUAUAGAGACUAAUAAAUGAUUUCAGAGUAUAUAUGUCAAAUAGAUUAAAACUGAAUGUUGGUAUGACUCAAGAAACCUGAAUUCUGCUUGGAUCAAUGCCAGUUAAAAUACUUAAUCAUAUCAUAAUUAUGUUGAGGUCUCAUGUGCUUCACUUAUAGCAUUCCUUGCUAAUUCAAGCAGUGACAUCUACAAAGCUUUGAUCUAUUUUUUUGCCAGGCUUCCUCCAGUUAGACAGUUGUGUUAUAUGUCUGUGAUCUGACUUUUGCCUUAAAAGUUGUUCUUCUUUCAAAAUGCACUUAUUUGGGAAAUCGUAAAAUGUGCAGAGCUACGUAGCACAGAGCCAAGUGCUGGGUGCUGGUGUGUUCAAAGGAAGGAAGCUGAUGUGCCCUCACGUGUUGAAUGGCAGACACCGAGCAGGCGCAGGUGGUGCACCCUUGAGCUUGGUGAGUCUUGGGAAGAGGCGCUCUGGGGGCAGCUGCCUCUGGAGAACACAUUUGUAAUAUUCUCGGGUCCCAGGAGAGGAAGAGAUGGUUUUGCUUUUGAUGUGGAAAUCUUAUUAAGGCUUUCUACAGGGAAAAGGAAGUGGAAAACAAAUGCACCCAUGAUAAUCAGUUUCUUAUAACAUUCUUUGGUAAUACUGGCUUGGUUGUUUUUAGUGGAAAUCAUUAGCUUCCAUUUUUAGUAUAAUAGCAACUAUUGGCUAAAUUAGUCUAUAGGAGGCCAUUAAGAUGGAUGUUGGAAUUAAAAACAUUUUUGGAAGAAAGCCUGGUCUGAGCCUUUGUUAUAAGCCCUCGGGCAGGGACCUGGGUCCUGUUCCUGUUCCUGUUGUCACUCUGACACUUCAUUUCCAGAUACACAUUCUUAGUGACUUGCUCCCGGAAGAAAACUGGAGCACACAGACCAGCUUCUCCCCUUCCAGUCUCUUUAUGAGUCAAAUAUUUACUUUCCUGUCAUGUUAAGAAAUGGUAGAUUUAUUUUACCCUGAGCAUUUGUGAUAUAUUUUAUCUUUUUCUUAUUUAAAAGGAGCUUGUAGAUGUGGGAUGGAGUUGACUACAUGCUGUGUGCUGGCUUUUAUUCUCCAUUUUUAACUACAACAGUCAUUAUAUGUUUAUAUGUUUAUCUGUUAUCUGACUUUUGCCUUACAUGUAACAUUUACAUGUAACAGUUACAUUAGAAGCAAAGGUAUGUCAGGCAUGGUGGCACACGCCUGUAACCCCAGCGGUUUGGGAGGCUGAAUGGUGAGUUCAAAGACAGCCUCAGCAAUUUAGUGAGGCCUUAAGCAACUUAGUGAGGCCCUAAGCAACUUAGUGAGAUCCUGUCUCUAAAUAAAAUAUGAAAAGGGCUGGGGAUGUGGUUCAGUGGUUCAAUCCUC
RNAcentral lists this long non-coding RNA (2316 nucleotides) under Marmota monax (woodchuck). Lineage: Eukaryota; Metazoa; Chordata; Mammalia; Rodentia; Sciuridae. The record is from RNAcentral.